Molecule: ribosomal RNA, 253 nt
Filed under: uncultured bacterium
Lineage: Bacteria
Description: partial 16S ribosomal RNA
Rfam family: Bacterial small subunit ribosomal RNA
Source: RNAcentral
ACGUAGGGGGCAAGCGUUGUCCGGAUUCAUUGGGCGUAAAGAGCUCGUAGGCGGUUCAGUAAGUCGGGUGUGAAAGCUCCGAGCUCAACUCGGAGAGGCCACCCGAUACUGCUGUGACUUGAGUCCAGUAGAGGAGCGUGGAAUUCCUGGUGUAGCGGUGAAAUGCGCAGAUAUCAGGAGGAACACCUGCAGCGAAGGCGGCGCUCUGGGCUGGAACUGACGCUGAGGAGCGAAAGCGUGGGUAGCAAACAGG